GUCAGCGGAACGUGGGGUGUUAAAGCGGGUGUCCACAAUAGUGGACAUGGAAUUUUCUUAAUGAAGGCGCGGCCAGAUUUGAUUAGUUUGUCGUCAAGUACAGUAAACUUGUCGUUUUCUUUCCUACAAUGCCAACAAACACUCUCUCUCUCUUACAUCAUUAGUGGUCAGUUAACGUUUUGUGCUAACUUUGACAGGAUCUCUGCCAGACACCGCAGCUCACCAGUCACCUCCACCACAAGUGUGGACCCCGCUACAGAGACCACCACCACUCAUAAGCUUGAUCUAACAGGUUGGGGGGGGGGUGAGACAAGAACGAAGCAACGUCAGCAGUAGCUGGAACAGUAUUAAUCCAGACACCACGCUCGCUACAUCUCUCCAGCCACCACGCCACCACCGACCCCUCGAGUGUACGCAGCCCAGUGUCCGUCUGUGUCUUGUCGUGGGCGUGACGUUCAGCAGCGGCAGGAACAGCAACGGGAAGCUUGAUCUGCGUGGGUUUUCGUGCGGCGGGGUGACGUGCCGCUGCUGUGAGAUUAUCGGACCACACACACACAGCACAGCACAGAGGAGGAGAGGCGUUGACGAUCCAAAGGCCUGACUCCACAGCGGUAAUGAGCCUCGUCUACCUUGCACUUAACGGACAAUGCUCACUACCAACACCUCUGCCUCCGCCACCGCCACUGCCGCCGUUGAGGGAGACUGGCUGGAUGAGUGGGUGAUAGAGGCGAGGCAGGUGUGGUGAGGCGGAGGAUUGGAGACGAGAACCUACAGAUGACGGCAGACACGGAAGAUUCCACUUACCAGGAGUUGGUGAUCCGAAGCCGUGACUGCAGCGAUCCCGUGCGGCCUGCACCAUCAGGGAAGGACUCUCUCUGGCUUCGCACUGCGCCUACAUUGACCGUUGCCGCCGCUGCUACCGCUACUCGGAGGGGCACUGCCUCGCAUUGGGCCUUCACUGCCGUCCCGCUAAUACACGUGUCGCCGUCGCAGCUACUGGCACUGAGGGACUUCGCCUCGCAGCGGCCUGGCAAACACCUGCUACACCACCACCACUAACUCCACCACCGCAGUCCAGAGAUUCAGCUUCGCAUAGCAGACAUCCUCCUAUUCAACGCUUGCUGCCACUACCACCUCAUUAUGGUGGUGUCACUGUACUUGGAUCUGUUGUCUCUACUGAAUAAUAAUGUGUAAAGAAAUCUUUUUGUUUCGGUAAAUUUCCUUUCCUGGGAAUA
Molecule: unclassified non-coding RNA, 1235 nt
Filed under: Portunus trituberculatus (swimming crab)
Lineage: Eukaryota; Metazoa; Arthropoda; Malacostraca; Decapoda; Portunidae
Description: uncharacterized LOC123506852, transcript variant X1
Source: RNAcentral